Molecule: non-coding RNA, 308 nt
Organism: Euryarchaeota archaeon TMED141
Lineage: Archaea; Methanobacteriati; Methanobacteriota
Source: Rfam
ACCUCGGGAUAGGUGGGGGGCUCGGCGUACCCUGUACCGCACAUCGUCGUUAUGGCGGACCGAAUGCCCCGGGGCGGCGCAACCGACCCGUGGUCUCCCGCUUGCGGACGUUGAUGUCUCGCCCCCACAUGACCCGGGUGCCAAGAACCGUCUCCGGAGGGAGACGGGAAUCGGAUAACCGGGGGAACAGGUCAGGCCGGGAACGGAGCAGCCCUACCUGGGGCCAUGGGUGCUGUGGGGACCCGGGACGGAGGAAGCAGGCGGAUUUGGGCCAUGGGAACGAGCGUCCACCUGGGGCGCUCCCACCU